This 206-nucleotide ribosomal RNA is filed under the name uncultured bacterium. RNAcentral describes it as "partial 16S ribosomal RNA". It matches the Rfam family "Bacterial small subunit ribosomal RNA", at positions 795 to 1003 of the family's 1533-position model. The record is from RNAcentral.
CCACGCCCUAAACGAUGAGUGCUAGGUGUCGGGAGUCAAAUCUCGGUGCCGCCGUUAACACAGUAAGCACUCCGCCUGGGGAGUACGCACGCAAGUGUGAAACUCAAAGGAAUUGACGGGGACCCGCACAAGUAGCGGAGCAUGUGGUUUAAUUCGACGCAACGCGAAGAACCUUACCAGGGCUUGACAUGACAGUGACGGGUUGU